GACGAACGCUGGCGGCGCGCCUAACACAUGCAAGUCGAACGAGCGAGAGAGAGCUUGCUUUCUCGAGCGAGUGGCGAACGGGUGAGUAACGCGUGAGGAACCUGCCUCAAAGAGGGGGACAACAGUUGGAAACGACUGCUAAUACCGCAUAAGCCCACAGGUCGGCAUCGACCAGAGGGAAAAGGAGCAAUCCGCUUUGAGAUGGCCUCGCGUCCGAUUAGCUAGUUGGUGAGGUAAUGGCCCACCAAGGCAACGAUCGGUAGCCGGACUGAGAGGUUGAACGGCCACAUUGGGACUGAGACACGGCCCAGACUCCUACGGGAGGCAGCAGUGGGGAAUAUUGCACAAUGGGGGAAACCCUGAUGCAGCGACGCCGCGUGGAGGAAGAAGGUCUUCGGAUUGUAAACUCCUGUUGUUGAGGAAGAUAAUGACGGUACUCAACAAGGAAGUGACGGCUAACUACGUGCCAGCAGCCGCGGUAAAACGUAGGUCACAAGCGUUGUCCGGAAUUACUGGGUGUAAAGGGAGCGCAGGCGGGAAGACAAGUUGGAAGUGAAAUCUAUGGGCUCAACCCAUAAACUGCUUUCAAAACUGUUUUUCUUGAGUAGUGCAGAGGUAGGCGGAAUUCCCGGUGUAGCGGUGGAAUGCGUAGAUAUCGGGAGGAACACCAGUGGCGAAGGCGGCCUACUGGGCACCAACUGACGCUGAGGCUCGAAAGUGUGGGUAGCAAACAGGAUUAGAUACCCUGGUAGUCCACACCGUAAACGA
RNAcentral lists this ribosomal RNA (768 nucleotides) under uncultured bacterium. RNAcentral's name for it is "bacterial SSU rRNA". It matches the Rfam family "Bacterial small subunit ribosomal RNA", at positions 28 to 809 of the family's 1533-position model. The record is from RNAcentral.